RNAcentral lists this transfer RNA (67 nucleotides) under Pheidole oxyops. RNAcentral's name for it is "tRNA-Lys". It matches the Rfam family "tRNA". From Rfam's summary of the family: Transfer RNA (tRNA) molecules are approximately 80 nucleotides in length. The record is from RNAcentral. Lineage: Eukaryota; Metazoa; Arthropoda; Insecta; Hymenoptera; Formicidae.
CAUUAAAUGACUGAAAAAGUAUUGAUCUUUUAAAUCAAAUUAUAAUAGUUAAUCCUAUUUUUAAUGA